CCGUGAGAUCGUGACUUGAGCCGAAGUGGGAUGCUUAACAGGUUAAAUCACCCAGGUAACCCGCUAAUACCUACAAUUUAAAUAUUUCCUGUGGAUUAAGCCCCACUAAAUUGUGUCUCAUCUGUUCAAAAUCCAUGUAGAUGGGUUCCUAUUUUAUAUUUAAAUUCUGAUUUUGCAGUUUGACUAGAACUUCUAGAAAAGGUUGGACAGAUUUGAGGGGACAGUGGAGGUACUAAGGUUGUAGGUGAUAAUGAUUGUGGUGAGGGGUGGGGCACAGUUUCCUGUCACUGACUCAUCAGUGCCUGGUUCUCUCUGGUAUUUCUAGUAUUGGACAGAGUUGACUUUGGAUUUUUAAGGGUGUAUGGCUUUGUUGACAGGGAUAUUGGUUAUUCAUUUGAGUUCUUCUAUUGAUUAGUGUUGAUAUUUUAAUUUCUUACAAGUGUUUCUUAUCUGCUUGCAGAUAAGAAGGCAUCUCUACUUUUGAAAUUUGUUUCUUUUCUCUCUGUUCUUCCUGUCCUGCCUCCCUAGCUCCCAAUUUGGAUUAAAACUUAAACAGCCUAGGCCUGGAAGACAGAAGACAUUUACACAGUUGCAGAUUUAUUAUCUUUGGAUUUUUAAAAAUUAGCUUUUUAAAGGUUCCCUUUACAUUUUUUAAGUUUCCAAGUAGUGCCCAUAUCUCUGCAGACUGAAGGAGGGGAAGGCAAAGGAGUUACACUCAUCAAAACAUUUUCUGAACAAAUCUGUCUUCUGUUUCCUUCCAUGACCUGAUUUAAUGAAGAUAUUUUCACCUCAGAGGACCAUCUCAGGAGUACCAUAUAGUGUCAUUAUUAGGUGAAUGGGUGUGGGUUUUGCCCUUGCUUAAAUGGGAGUGUUACAUCAUGGCAUAUUUUCAAGGAGUCAUAGGGAAUUGACCCAUUUUAUCUAACAGUUAACACACUGAUGGGCAUUGAUAGCUAGAAGGAACAUCAUUUAGAUCCAGCCACUUCCCCGCCCCAGAGGAGGAAAUUGAAGCCCAGAGAGAUUAAGUAAUUUUAUUCAACAAACAUUAAUUGAGCAUGCACCAUAUGUUAGACCCAGUACUAGGUGCUGGGGGCUACAGCGAUGAGUAAGUAAGUGUAAGUCCCUCUUGGAGAUAAAUACAUAGUGCUUAGAUCAUACAGUUUGUAAUUAGCAGGUCAGGAAGUAGAAUAUUUAUGAAUCCUUCAUAUUCAAUCAAGUCUUUCUAUAUUAAUAUGAUAAAAAAAUAAUGUCAUCCUUCUGUUCAUUCUUCUACUUUCAUUAAAUCCUUUAAUAAAGAUUUUCAUUUAUUUAUUUUUAGAACAAAGUUCAGCAUUCUCUCUUUGACAUCAAUACUGCUUAGCUCCCACUCUUUCUUGAAAGAUUAGCGUACAGUAACCAUCUACAUUUAUUCAAGCCCCUAAAAUCGGACCAAAAGUACUCCAGCUGAAGUCAUUGCCGUGUCUAGUUUUUAUCUUGACGCAUGUAUUGUCCUAUCUUCUUAAAACUUUCCAUUGGGUUAUUGAUGCCCUGAUUGUCCUACCUCUUUUCCUUUUUAAUUUCCCUUAGAGUUUCAUCUGCCCACUUCUUAUUCCCCAAAUGGGCCAUAUGUUUGCAGAACUUCUAGAAACUGGUCAUUCUUCAAGAGUUAGGGUUCUUGAGGAGAGGUUAUUCUAGCUGUCUGACCUUUUUAAGAUUUUAGGUACUUCCAUCUCUUUUCAUACCACCUGUUUCCCAAUCCUGUAAUGUUAUGCUUUGCAUACCAAGUUUUCUUUGAUUUUUUUCUCAAGAACUGGGACCAUUUUCUCCAGAGACUGGCACGUGAUAAUGAUUUUUAAAAACGUAGUUUAUUGCAGAAUGAUUUCUCCCUGGCUCAGGCCACCCCUCCCUUCCUCCAGCAGUCCGUCCCUCUGUUUCUCUUUUCAGCUCUCUGCUGGGCUCUAUGAGCUGUGUUGCUGCCAGGAAACAGCUUGUGGUGGUUCUCUGUUAAUGGUGGAUUUAUAGUUUUAUGAAUUGCCAGUAUAUUAAGUAAGAAGCUUAAACACAACCCUUAGUUACACUCAAAUCGAUUGGCAAACCUUUUUUAAAAAUUCAUAAAUUAUACGUGCAUAAACUUGAGCCUUCAUCUGUCUGAUUAAAUCUGCAUUCGUAAUUAGUGUGAGACAAACGAAAUUUUUUACAGCUAAAAGAAGGGUGUUUCCAUUUCUCACUAUGGUUGAGAAUAUCCUACAUGAUGGUAUUUUUUCCAUACGUAAUUAUAACCUAAACAUUUAUGGUACAUUUGUCCUGGGCAGCACUCCAUCCUACAAAGGACAGUUUCUGUCCUUAAGGAAAUACAGUGUACUGUAAUUUAAAAAAAAAGUAUGCAGAUUGAUUUUCCCCAUUGCCUUGUUAAUGUGGCCAUGAUAGUUCUUUUGGGCCUGUUAUCAAGCUGAUCCAUUUGCUGAGUUAGAGUAUUUUUCUCUUGCUCCUCCACUUUGUUUGGGUUGCUGACCCUUCAUCCUUUGCUCUACGCUUGUCCUUGAUUAAAAUUAGAUCAAUAAAGCUAAAUCAAGGUAAAAAGUGGAAUUUCCUCAGGAGUAUAAGGGAUCAUAUAUUACAAUUAAACUGUUCAGAAGGAAAUAUUAGAUGGUUUUUUGUUUUAUUUUUACUUACAACCUUUUAAACUCAAUGGGUUAUUCCUUGUAGUUUGAAAGUAUGGAGAGAGGUGAAAUGGAUCUUUCAGCUGGUGUUUCUGAAUUUUUUGUUUUGUUUUGUUUUCCUGUAACCUCCUAGUCUUGGGUUGUGUUCAAAUCUCAAAGAUUUAUUAGGUGAACAUUCUGUAGCUAAGUGGCAAGAUGUUCUGGCUUCUCAUUAGCGGUGACCCUGGGUAGUUUUCUCAUAUUCAGCAACAUUUGUUAGGAGCCACCCAGCAUUCUUGUCACCGAGUGGUGAGGCCGAGCUGGAGUUCUGGGUGAGGAGGUCACCUUGCAUAUAUCUCUCUAGGUUGGGGGGCGGGGGGAGUGCUUUGUAGGGAAUGCUCAGGCUAAUUGUGAUUUCCCUCUUCUUUUUGUACAUGAACUCUACUCUUACAGGACAAAAUGCUUAGUGGUUGGAAGAAGGAAAAUGGCUUUUUCUCCUUCCCUAAAGAAGGAGGAGCAUACGGGGUCCUUAUGCCUUGUAAUAGGAUCCAGUAGCUAUGCAUUGUGGAAUCAGAGUUCAGCUUUUGCCCCUGGCAUUUUCCACUGGUGGGACCUAGGGUGUAAAUUACACUGAGCCUCAUUCCCUUACUCUGUUGAAUUGUUUUUGAGGAUUAAAUACAGUUGCUUUAAAAAGGUGAGUAUGAUGCGGUUUUAACCUGGAGUUAUAACCUAUGAGAUAUAAGAAGUCUAUGUACUGACUUGGGAGAGAUGUGCCAUGAAAAAAAAA
Long non-coding RNA from Herpailurus yagouaroundi (jaguarundi), 3405 nucleotides. RefSeq lists it as uncharacterized. The transcript is spliced from 2 exons. The record is from RefSeq and is a predicted model, not a curated record. NCBI's taxonomy places the organism in Eukaryota, Metazoa, Chordata, Mammalia, Carnivora, Felidae.